This 524-nucleotide unclassified non-coding RNA is filed under the name Hevea brasiliensis (rubber tree). The record is from RNAcentral. Lineage: Eukaryota; Viridiplantae; Streptophyta; Magnoliopsida; Malpighiales; Euphorbiaceae.
AAAAAAAAAAAGGUAAAAGAAAAAGCAGCAGCUUUCAGGGGAUUGAUUGAGGAUAAAAUGCACUUUUAGACCUAAAGUCAUCACAAAAGGAAUUAGACAGCUAAUCACUACCAGCAAUCUGAGAAUUUGCAUGAAAAAUGGUGGGAUGAUGAGCUGAGAAGGGAUGUUAACAUAAGUUAAAGCGCAAAGGUAAAAAUCAAUGUGAGUAAUGCACUCAUAAAUUCAGUAUAUAUAGUUAUUAUCAAAGGAAAUUUAUCAGUGCAUAUGAAGAGAAUCCUUUAAAUUUCAGUACACACCAAAGCAUCUGUUCAAGCAUCAUUAAUGCUAAAGGAAUUUUACUUUGUUACUUUAAUCAAAAGCCUUGAAUUUUUUGCAAUAUGAAAUUGAUUAAAAACACCAUGUUCAUAAAAUUUUGCAAUGCAAAUUUGUAGCAAAGAAAAUUGCAAAGUGUUGGACCUCCAAAAAUGAAAUAGCAUGUAGUGAUGGAUGUGAAACCUUACACAAAUGAAAUAAAAGAUGCCUCG